UAUCACAAAUAUCUAUGCAAAUAUGUGAAUCAAGUGCAACAAUCAAACAACAUAAUGAUUUCCACAAAGAAAAUUUUAAAAAUAUAUUUAUGUUAUGUAGUCUUAUUUUAUAUUCUUUAAAUAAUGUAAUAUAAUAUUAUACAUUAUUUUUUUAGAAUUGAGAAAUACAUAUAAUAUCUUAUUUAUCUGUGCAUAGCGCGGUUAAAAAAUUUAGUCAAUUAUAAUGAGCAAGUUUCAAGACUCUUCAGCAUGCCACAUCAUCACUAGCUAUUUAUGUGGGACCUACCUACUUAAUCAAAUAUUUGAUUACUAGUAUUCUCUUCCGUGCUAUGCACGGGCAUUAUUAUUUGUAAACAAUAUAUUUUAAUAAAUAUGUAAAUUUUCCUACAAUAAGUAUUAUUUUAUCUUUUUAACUCUAAAGAAACUUUAGUAAUAGAAACGGGGUUAUUAUUAAUAAAGUUAAAGAAAUAAAUAAUCUGUUGUUUAUAUUUUACAACACUUCAAUAUAGACCCAACAUAUCAAGAUAAGAGAUUGAUUUCACUUUUUCAAAACCAACAAAAUAUUAGUAUUAGAGAUCAAAUUCAGGAAAACCGUAGCUCUUGUAAAAAACAAUUAGAUAUAAACAAUAUUUUUGUAGGAUAUUGACGUUAUCUCUUGUAGUUUUUUAGUUCUUCUCGAUGUGUCAUUGCAAGUUGUAUAUUUACGGGACUCUAUACAGAAUUAGGUAACACUAUAUAAGAAAAAAUAAAAUCAAAUAUGUAUAUUACUCCUAAUUCCUAAAGUAAACAAAAAUAUUAUCUUUAUACAAUUAUAAAAACAUGUAUAAAAUAAGGAAAACCAACAUGAGAUUAGACCUUGAUCUAGAAAGUAGACAUGGGAUUCCUUUUUGUUUCCUCUACCACUUUGAGUUUCUUAAGCCCAGUCGUUUGUUUUUGCUUCUUAUUGUGGUGCUUCUCAAGUUUAUAAGUGAGCUUGUUACUUUGCUCUCUGGAAUCAUCACCAUCACAACAAAUAAAAAAUUUCAAGCAUAUCGAGAAUUAAUCUAGUCAAUUAAAAAACGGCAGUGACCUAAUUUGUGUAGUUUACCUUUUUUUUAAUGAUAUCUGCAUAAAAAUAUGUAGCUUUUACCAAUAUCCAAAAGAGAAAAAGGAAAGAAAAAAAAUCAUAAAUAAGUUAUAAAAGAAAAAAGGUUCAUGAAAAAAAUCAACAUUACAUAAAUUAUGAUUUAAGUAUUGAAGAGUUUGAGCGUAUUUAAUUAGUUUCACUAACCUGAAUUUUAACUUCAUCUGCCAACUUCCCAAGAUGUUCUUUUAAGAGUAUUGCUGCCACUGUUUGGCCAGAGACAUAUCAACCUGGACAUAGAAUUGUAGUCCUGAUGAAAAUGUUGAUACGAUAUAUUCAAACUCUGAUAGAAAAAGUUAGUGGAGCAAUUGCAGACUGUGGAGCAAUUGCAGACUGAGAAGAAUUGAUAACAUCGUGAGUCAAAUCUUGUAAAGAGAAAGUCUUACGGUUUCAGAUUUUGAGAUCAUGAAGUAGUGGGAGAGAUAUUAUUGAUUUUUAUUUUAUCUUGAUUUAUAUGUAAAAAUAAUAGAAAUCAGUUAUUAUUUUAAUAAAUAACGGUUUGUUACAAAGCGUUUUCUUUUUGUGAAUUUUUAUUUUUAAUUAAAAAUUUUAAAUAUAUACCAAAUGUCAGAAUUUUUAUUGGCCAUGUGAUUUGUGCUUUAUUAUAUAAAAGAUGGAAAAAUAAGAAAAUUGUUAGUUUAUAUUUAGACUCCAGAAAAAUAGGAGAUGCAAAGAAAAAUUCAUAAAAAUUGCUUUACUAAUAAUCGUAAAAGGUUGGUUAUUUGUCUUAUUUUCAAACUUUCAUAUUUGUUUUGAUAACGUGUUUUACUUUUCUAUAUUUUUCAAAUUUUUUUUUAAAAAAAUAGAUUUUCUACAUGUCAACUUUAAAUUGGUGAUGCGACUUGCGCUUUAAUAUAUAAGAGAUUUCGUUGCUUACAGAAAUUGUUUUAUGUUGUUUGGGGCCAUAAGUUUGAUAUACUUGUUUACGUGAAGCCCAUUAGAAGGUUUUUCCCAAUCUCAAAUAAUUCAUUUCUUGCGACAAGAUGAAAAUUCUGCGUCUCCCCUCCCUCCAGAGCCGGUCUUGGAAGGAAGCCAAUGAAGCUUCUGCUUCCGGCUGCACAAUAUUAUGAUUUUAAACGGCCACAUUUGGACAGAAAGUCCUUAGUAUCUUAGUGGUUUGGCUUGGUGUUGUUAGUAUUCAAGGUUGUGGGUUCGAGUGACUUCGGCCACAUUUUUUAUUUUGGCUUCUAGCCACCUAAUUACUAAGACCGGCUCUGCCUCCCUCCCUUUCAUAUACGUAAUUCGGUUUCAUGGCACUAAUCUCCUUACUCCCCUUCCAUCUUCCCCUCUUUUAUGAUACCCUUAAUCACUCGACUAUUUCAUAACCUCUGCCAUAGCCGUUUCUAUAUAAAGUUGAUCCUGGAUCCCGAAAUUGAACAUCGCAACUCUCAUCCUUGCUUUCGUCAUCCGCGUAGCUUAUACCCCACAUGUGCAAAAUAUAUUGCUCUGCUGUUGUUGCUGCUCAAUCAGCUGGUACAUACGUCACUUUCGACGAUCUCCGCCUUGGUCGGUCGACUCAGGUCAUGUCAUCAGGGCCGGGUCUGAGCCCAUUCUUGUGAAACAUUUGAAUUGGACCCCAAUAUUUUAAGGGCCCCAAAUUAAAAAAAAAUCUAUAUAUUUGCCUUUUUUAAUUAAGUUUUUUGAUAUAAUACACAACAAAAUAUAACUUUUUGAAUAUAUAUAUAUAUAUAAUAGUUGAAAUAUUAAAUAAGGUAUAAAUAAAUAUAAUGUGAAAUUAUAUAAAAUAUGUAUAAUAAUUUUUUUAAAUGUAUUUAUUUGAUUGAAAAAAAAACUUGAAUGGAUCCCAAUUUUUACAGGCCCUGCUCUGCAUGUCAUUGUCGGCCGCCUCCUACCCUUCUGCUCUGGGAUUCCUUCAACAUCAAGAAGAAUUUAGAGUUUAUAGGUAUCACCCUACUCUAGGUAUGUUCAUCCACUCUCUCACAUCCAUGAUUUACCUCGCAAUUUCCUGAUCGAGAGUGAAAAAAAUUAAUUAACCAAAAAAACCUUAUGUCUGUUUGUGUUUGUGAUCUUCUAACGAAUUCUGAUUGAACCUCAUGUAUGGCUAUGCAGAAUUCUGUCAUUCAUGGAUUUAUCCCUGCGGCUCGUGCCAAUGGCAAUCAGUAAUGCGCUUCUCUAUGAACCGGUGCGAUCGUCAAAAUUGCUCGGUUUGAAGUCGGGCGUCGCACAAAAAUAUACAAGAUUACCGAUCAGUCCAACUCAAACGACCAGGUAAGUAUAGCUCUUUCAUAUUCUUUUUUAAAAAUUCUCCAUGUGUUACAAAAUUAAUACUUCUAAUGGAAGUUGGACAAAUAUGUCACCUCCCUCCGCUGCAAUAGAUGUGUUCACCCAAUGUAACUGAUGACAGUUAAACCCAUGUCCAAAAGAACACUACAAAUUGUAAAUGAUCAUAAAAACGCAAGAUUCCAUGUAGAGAUGGCCGUUGAAGAUGGCAAAGACAGUGCAGUGUUUGUGGUCUUCGAUACCGAGAUGUAUAAACUCACCAAGAUUGAAGCAGCCACACUAGCUCUAGAGGAGGUUUGGUCUGCAGCUAAAGAGUUGGCUCUAAAGCUGGGUCUGGCAAAGGCACAUCUUCUAGAUGAUGGGUAACUUUGUCUAACAUAUAGGUAAACAACUUUUUCUAAUGUUUUUGUAUCUUGCGCGUUCUCGGUAUAUUCCUAUAUGCAUCUCUCUAUGGCCUUGAGAUCGAAACAUUAAAGGUGAGACCAUCCGGUGUCCCUAUAGUUUCCUUGAUAGCAAUUGGAGGUUUACUCUUUGUUAUCGGAAAAAUAUAUGGUGCUUAUCUGGUCAGGCUCCCUUCUUGCUAAUCCCAUGCUUACAAAAAAAGUUUUCAAAGCUUGCCGCUGUUUGACUUUAAUGUCUCAGUAUUUUUGUUUCAUUUCAGGAUUUUUACUGUGUUAACAGUCCAGUUAUGUAUGAGGAUCGUCAAUUCUCUCCUUUUUGGAUAAAGCUCCUAAAGUCUUACAGAUCCCUGAUCAUCAAGUCUAUGAGAACGAACAAAUGAUUAACCCACGUGCCAAACUUCGUUUCAUGGUGAAAGCAGCAUUAACCCUCCACAGCUGGAUCUCCAAUCUAUGGAACCACCUGCUUCUGCACGCAAUCCGGUGAUGAGCCUCCAAACAUAAUGGAAGUUGAUCCACCAAUACCAUUAAACUUUGGAGCCGAAGAGAAGAGCUGCAAACGCCCAAGUGUGUUAUCCUAGCAAGUUCGGGAAACCGUUGUUCCCAUGCGCAUUAGAGGUUUAAAGGAGAGUAUCACACUUUUUACGAGGAAAAAAAUAUUAAAAAAAGCAAAAGUGAUGAACUCGGUUCGUCUCGCAUCUCCUGCGUGAUACCCUCUCUCCUAAAGUUCAUCACUGUAGCGCGGGCCCACGACACGUGGCAGUCCGCGAUUGGUUAAUUUUUUUAAAAAAAAAAAAAAAAAUCAAAAAAAAGGAAAAAACUUAAUAAUAAAAAAUUAAGAAGAUGAACUCCAAAGGGGGUUCACUGAUGCUCUUGCUCUA
Long non-coding RNA from Brassica rapa (field mustard), 4643 nucleotides. RefSeq lists it as uncharacterized. The record is from RefSeq and is a predicted model, not a curated record. Lineage: Eukaryota; Viridiplantae; Streptophyta; Magnoliopsida; Brassicales; Brassicaceae.